This is a non-coding RNA of Cinara cedri, 238 nucleotides long. NCBI's taxonomy places the organism in Eukaryota, Metazoa, Arthropoda, Insecta, Hemiptera, Aphididae. The record is from the annotation of a GenBank genome assembly.
ACUUUAUCAAGAUAUAUAAUUAGAUAUUCUACUUUUAAGUUUAGGUGGGGGGAGAGUAGUGAAGUAUUAUUUGUGUGGCACCCCGGUACUCUGCAUUUUAUUAGUGUUCCACUAGUCCCCCUCUACCUACGAACUUCAAUUAACAUGAUAAAUAAUUGCGAUACAAUCACAAUUACAAUAUUAACAUUUUUGUUAAACUAUUAUUUUUAUUAAAAUGAAAAAAGCAACAAAUCUAUUG